GACGAACGCUGGCGGUGUGCUUAACACAUGCAAGUCGAACGGUGACGUGCUUUCCUUUUGGGUGGGGGUGAUGAGUGGGGGACGGGCUGGUUAUAGGUUAGGAACCUGCCCCGUUCAUGUUGGCUACCGCCGGAAAGGGUGGGUAAUAAGGGAUAAUUUGCCUCUGGAUGAUGGCGGGUGUGGUUAAGUUUGUGGCGUUGGGUGGUCUCGGUGGGGGAUGGGCCCGUGGCCUGUCAGCUUGUUGGUGGGGUGAUGGCCUACCUAGGCGGCGGCGGGUAGCCGGCCUGAGAGAGUGGACGGUCAGACUGGGACUGAGGCCCGGCCCGGACUCAUACGGGGGGCAGCAGUGGGGGAUAUUGCGCAGUGGGCGCAAGCCUGAUGCAGCGGCGCCGCGUGAGGGAUGGAGGCGUUCGGGGUGUGAACCUCUUUCGCCAGUAAAGCAGGCCUGCUCGUUGUGGGUAGGUUGACGGUACCUGGAUAAGAAGCGCCGGCUAACUACGUG
RNAcentral lists this ribosomal RNA (502 nucleotides) under uncultured bacterium. RNAcentral's name for it is "partial 16S ribosomal RNA". It matches the Rfam family "Bacterial small subunit ribosomal RNA", at positions 28 to 507 of the family's 1533-position model. The record is from RNAcentral.